GAUUAAACUUAAACCCUCAGAUUGAUAUGAGGGUUACACUCUCUUCCCUGAUUUUUUUGUUUGUUUUCUUUACAGUUUUUGCCUACCUUUGUUGGGCUCUGAGGUUUUGGUCUCACACCUCCCCUUUUCCUUCCACCAUCCCUCUGAGUUUAGUUUAUUUAAGUUUUUUUUUAUAUUUUAUUUAAUCCAUUUUAGUUAAUUUAUUUUUAAUUCAAGGCUUUAG
RNAcentral lists this long non-coding RNA (223 nucleotides) under Lathyrus oleraceus (garden pea). RNAcentral's name for it is "Pisum sativum (pea) long non-coding RNA (PSAT_LNC000891)". The record is from RNAcentral. Lineage: Eukaryota; Viridiplantae; Streptophyta; Magnoliopsida; Fabales; Fabaceae.